This 16580-nucleotide long non-coding RNA is filed under the name Triticum aestivum (bread wheat). RNAcentral describes it as "long non-coding RNA (TAES_LNC020631)". Lineage: Eukaryota; Viridiplantae; Streptophyta; Magnoliopsida; Poales; Poaceae. The record is from RNAcentral.
UCCAAUUUUUAGAUGGGUCCCAAUUGUCAGAUUUUUCCUGGCAGUGGAUCCACAUCACUUUUUAAGUAGUAUAUAUCAAAUAGAAAGAAGAGAAGAAUAUGAAAAUCUUCGAAUAACAACCAAAAUAGGUUUAUUACAAUAUAUUAUGUACAGAAUAGAACAUGUGAAACUCCAUACAUUCGUUCACAUCACAACAACCAGUUUAAACUACAAAUAUUGCAUGCCCAGGAACUUAAAACUUCACGUACAUAACCAUACAAUAUUCCAGACAAUCACAAAUAUUGCGAUUGAAAAAUAAAAUGCUCUGCCAAGUUAAAGCUAGCUACUCUUGGAUACCACGGAACAUGCUCUUCAACAUAGGAAGAAGUCAUCAAUGAUGUUCUACCAACAACACAAGCUCCAUUCACCUACAAGAACAGAAUGGAAUAUCAAGUACUUGGAUCGUUCAAGAAGAUUACAACCAACAUAUAUAUGUAGAAGUACAUCAGGAAAUAUGAUGGACCAAUCGGACAACAAAUACAUUAAGUAAACAGCCCAACCGAUGAGUGAUGACGACAUGCAAAGAGUAUAAACCCAGGUUUGGACAUAAAUAGCGUCAACUCAAGCAGAACAUAAUAAGGUAGUUAACUCAAGCAGAACAUAAUUAAGUACGAUGAAAGGGACCAUCCAAUUAAAUUCCAUUCUUAUCUUCUUCAGUAAGGACAGGCAAAACAUCCCAUUUCUAGUAUUAUGUCUGAAAAAUCACUAGUAUUAUGUCUAAAAAAUCACUAGUAUUAUGUCUGAAAAAUCACUAGCUAGCAUGCUGCAUUACUAGUCUGCCAAAUAUGCAUUUCUGGUGAAUUAUGUCUGAAAAAUGCAAUGGAACGGAAACGAAUUCAGGAAACACAACACGUAGAGCCACUGAAGAAAUGAAAUUGCGCAGGCGGUUCAGGAUAUAAUGACUCGCCCAGGCUCAUGAUACAAUGACUCACACAUGGCUUGCAAGGCCAAAUAAGGAUAUUGACCCAUGAGGGAAAAGUACAAAAUAUUGCCUACAGGGAUGUUUUAGUAUAACCAUGUACAUGCCGUGUACUGCAGCGUGAUGUCUCUAAUAUGGUUGUAUUCAUGUAAAUAGUACCCAGGAAAAAUAAUAUUAGAUAGGGUUUCUGUCAUUAGCCUAUACUUGUGAAAAUUGUAGACCAAAAGAUAUGUUUGCAUGGCUAAUAUUCUAGCAUAUACAAUACUUAAAUCUAUAGAUUUACCAUCCCUUUCACAGUUAUAGCAUAUAAUAGAAAUCCAGCAACAUAAGUAAGCACAUAUCAUAAGUAAGUACUAGUUCUAUUGAAUUACAGAGAAAGAAAGAGAGUGAAAUAGAUAGGGCGAGAGCAGCAUCAACAGUAGGGGGUUCAGACUUUAGAGAAGACCAGCAGCGAGGUUAGGAGAAGAAGAAGCAAUCGUGGGGAUGGAGAGAGGAGUAGCAGCGAGCAGCAAGAAACAGGUUCAGAGAAGAAGUGCAGCAGUGGGUUUAGUGGAUUCAGAGAAGAGGCAAGCAGCAGGAGGCGCAGAAAUAGAGGAGCAACAACAUGGUUAGCAGCAGCAGCGUGAGGACUUAGAGAGAGCAACAGCUGUUUGAUGAUACGCAGCAAAUCAAAUGAGUUUCCAUCACAAUAGUCUGAAUACGACAGCAACAACAUCAAUUAGUAAAAUUAGCAGCGUCUCGAUCACUGUAUAAUCAAUCAGUAGGCACAAAUAAAAUCAGCAAGCAUAGUAUAAAUCUGGUGCCCCAAAAGGCUAGUGAUGCAAAUAACAAAUCAAGUCUGUGGCUAAUUUGUAAUUCUGGGAAAAAUGUAAUGCGGUGAUGGCUCACAAUGAUGGCUUUGGCAUAGCAGAGAGCAAACUAAAUAAAAAUAGCUUAGUUCACCCACUUGAAUAGAAUAACAACUCAUGUAAACGUUUAAUCAAAACGUGAUGCUUUGGUUUCAGUCAAGGUUUAAUCAAAUCAACACAUACAAAACUGAACCAAGACCUGAUUUGUUUCAUACAUAACUGAACAUCAUAUUCUCCUGCCGUCCAAGCCACAGCCCAGGUUCACAAAGGCUGCUCCUACACGUCUACGCAAGUACAUUACAGGUUAACUAAAGUAGGUCUCUAAAGCUGAGCGGCUGACCGACCAGUGGUUGUUGGGGCCUUCAAGCCAAAGCCUGUUGUUGCUACCAGGAGAAGACUCCAACAAGUCACAACCGACGGUGACCUUGCUCGGCUCAACCCAACAAGAUUCAGCUCAGCUUGCGACAGCUAAAAAAAGAGCGGAACGAUCGAGAUCCACAGACCAGAGCAGUCAAGAAUGAGAGAGCUAAGUCAGACUCUCCGGCCAUGUACCCAGAAAUAACCGAUCAAGUGCACAUGUACCCAGACUAAGGAUCUGGGGCGGAGAGGACAGGGGAGCUCACCUCGCGGCGGAGCGUGUGGUCGAAGGAGCAACGAGCAAGGUCGGGGGCGAGGCCAAAGUGGCCGGAGAUGGAGGCUGGCCGCGCCUGGUCGAAGGAGCGUGUGAUCUCCGUCAUUGCAGCUUCUAGGAUAAUAAUAGACCAAAUUAACUAGAGAUGUACAAAUGUCCAAGCAUCUUUUAUUUAGGAUCAAAUUAAAUAAAGUUCCACCAAUGUCCAAGCAUCUUUUAUUUAGGAUCAAAUUAAGCUUCACAAAGAUGUACAAAUACAAUAUAUAUGAGACUAUAAAGCAUGCCUGAGACUGAGACCAGAUGUAACACAGAAGACAGAAAGUGUGCAAGAUACUCUUGUCAAGUGUAACUUAUGCCAGGUCUGAAUUGCCAUAUAUGCAUUAUUAAUUUGAAUGAGUCAAAUGGAACAGGCUGCUAGUAGAGUGUAAGAGCAUGCCAACCAGAUCGACUUAGCCUAGUCGGAGAAAUACUAGCUAGGACUAGCCCCUUCCAAACAUACUCGGGAAAAUGCUGGGAACAGCAAUACUAGUGACACAUGUGCAAGACGUGCGGCAGCUAACCUAACCAACCCGCGUGUGCAGAAGCACUCCCAACAAAGAGAUCCAUGGAAGCUCAGGAGCUUGAUUGAUCAGCAACCAACUGAAUGGAACCGAGAAAGCAAACCACGACCAAAUCAGACGAGCAUGUGACGGGAUCGAGGUGAAAUUGCAGCAUACAGAUUAAGAGGCUCCUAAUCCCAACACCUAAAUAAACCCUAAAUCCUUGCGUGCGGGAGGCCGAGGUGCAUGAACUGGGGGCCAAUCCGACCCAACGGGGAAUUGAAAAUCGGUAUACCUUAGGUUGGAGAUUCUCCGGCGGCGACGGUUGGUCAUGCGCGGCGGGCAGGGCACGACGCUCCCUGACUCCCGCGGUGGCGUGGACCGCGAAUGGAAGGAACAGGGUGGAAGGUGGGACGAGCGCGGACCACCAUGGCCGACCUCCCUCGAGGACGGACGCGGAUCAGGUCGACGACGGUGGCGUGGAUAUGGGCGCGCGAACGAUCUCCCCGGCUGGCCUUCCCUUCCCUUCCCUUGGGAGAGGAAUUGAAGGUGGGGUCGGCGGCGCUGGGGGGGAGGAGGAUAUCGUUGGCGGCGGGGUUGGGAUCGUGAUCUGGAUCGGGAUCGGGGUCGCGAGAGGAGGGCGUGGGAGGGAGAGAAAGAAAGAAAGAAAGGAGGCGGGGGGUGGAUGGAAGAUGUCCAAACACAAUGCUAGUGUUUUGGCUGAGGUGCGGUUGAUGGGGCGGCAAGGGGUGAGGGCUGCGUGCGUUAUCUGCCUCCGUUAUCUUUGGACCAAUCAAAACGCAAUAUAAUAUUAUGAUCAUUUAAAUUGGUCGCAGUAGAUUUAAAUAUAAUAUGUUAAAUCAUGUUAGCUAUUUUCUUGACUUGAGAAAUUCGAACAAAUUGAAAAAAUGGAAAUCCUUUUCAUCGUGUCAUAAAAUGUGACCUAGUUUUAAGAAAAAAAAAUAACAAACUAGUAAUAAGAUAAAUAUAUUUAAAAGAAGUGUCCUUAGAAAUGCCCGUCAUACUUUUUUUCGAGUGUUUAGAAUGAGUUUUUUUGUGAAGGACCUAUCAUAUAUUUGUUGCAAAAUUGAACCUAAUCAAUUUUCUAAAAUAUUAGGCCAUAUUUAAUGAACAAUUGACCAAAUGAUUAGAAGUCAAAAGUUUUUAUCCACCUCUCGUGAAAAAGACAAAAUAUCAUCGAUUCAGCAGGAAGCAGGUCAAAUUUGCACUGUAGCUGCCUCAUAGUUUGCUCUUUAUUUUUUACAAAAAUAAUUUCUAGGUACAUAAAUAUCUAUUUAAUCAGAGAAAUAUCAAGAGGUUUCCAAGAUUCAACCACUAGCUAGGAACGGUCAAGCCUGCCGUUACGACCGCAUUUUGAAACGGGCAUAAAAAAUUCAAAAAAUUGGAAAACCUUCGCAUUGUGUCAUUAUAUGUGACCAAGUUACCAGGAAAAAUAAUAAUCUUGUAAUACGGCAAUUCUUUUAAAAAAGUGGUCCCAGAAACGAGCUAUCAUUUUUGGAGAUCAAUGGCUCUCAAACCAAAUGAUCAAUCUUAUGGCCACAUUCAUGGGAUGGUUUCUUCAAAUGAUCUCAUAUUGUGCACAAGGGUGCACAUUGGAAUGGCAAACAAUGUUCCCUAAGGAAAUUUUCAUUUUCUUUGGAUGAAAAAAUCAUUUUCCAUUUUUUGGGUGCCCCAAAUGAGGUUUUUUUUGUGAAGAACCUACCAAAUAAUUAUUGCAACAUUGGACCAAAUCAUUUUUAUAAAAUACUAGGCCAUAUUUAAUGCACAAUUGACCAAAUGGUUGGGUGUAAAAAGUUUUGAUCCACCUCUGGUGAAAAAGACAAAUUUCCGUCGUUUCAGUUGGAAGCGGGUCAAAUUCGAACUGCGGCUGCCUCAUAGUUUGCUAUUUAUUUUUUCCAAAAAUCAUUUCUAAGUACAAAAGCAUCUAUUUAAUCAGAGAAACACCAAAAAAUCCAAAAUUCAACCACUAGCUAGGGACGGUCAUUCCUGGCGUUUUGACCGCAUUUUGAAACGGGCAUAAACAAUUCAAAAAAAUCAAAAAAUUGGAAAACCUUCGCAUUGUGUCAUUAUAUGUGACCAAGUUACCAGGAAAAAUAAUAAACUUGUAAUACAGCAAUUCUUUUUAAAAAGAUGUUCUCAGAAAUGUGCUAUCAUGUGUGAAGAUUCAUGGCUUUCAAGUCAAAUGAUCAAUCUUAUGGCCACAUUCAUGGCAUAGUUUGUUCAAAUGAUCUCAUAUUGCGCACAAGGGUGCAUAUUGGAAUGGCAAACAAUUUUGCCUAAGGGAUUUUUCAUUUUCUUUGGACGAAAAAUCAAUUUUUCAUUUUUUGAGUGCCUAAAAUGAGUUUUUUUUGUGAAGGACCAACCAUAUAUUUGUUGCAAAUUUGGAUCAAAUAAAUUUUAUAAAAUACUAGGACAUAUUUAAUGCACAAUUGACAAAAUGGUUGGGUUUCAAAAGUUUUGACCCACCUCUCGUGAAAAAGACAAAUUUCCACCAAUUCAGUAGGAAGCGGGUCAAAUUUGAACUAUAGCUGCCUUAUAGUUUGCUCUUUAUUUUUCCAAAAAUCAUUUCUAGGUACAUAAGUAUCUAUUUAAUCAGAGAAACACCAAAUUUUUUCCAAGAUUCAACCACUAGCUAGGAACGGUCAUGCUCGCCGUUUUGACCGCAUUUUGAAACGGGCAUAAAAAUUCAAUAAAAAUAAAAAAAAUUGGAAAACCUUCGCAUUGUGUCAUUAUAUGUGACCAAGUUACCAGGAAAAAUAAUAAACCUGUAAUAUGGCAAUUGUUUUGAAAAAGUGUUCUCAGAGAUGAGUUAUCAUGUGUGAAGAUUCAUGGCUUUCAAGUAAAAUGAUCAAUCUUAUGGCCACAUUCAUGGCAUAGUUUGUUCAAAUGAUCUCAUAUUGUGCACAAGGGUGCAUAUUGGAAUGGAAAACAAUUUUGCCUAAGGGAGUUUUCAUUUUCUUUGGACGAAAAAUCAAUUUUUCAUUUUUCGAGUGCCUAAAAUGAGUUUUUUUAUGAAGGACCUACCAUAUAUUUGUUGCAAAUUGGGACCAAAUCAAUUUUAUAAAAUACUAGGACAUAUUUAAUGUACAAUUUACAAAAUGGUUGGGUUUCAAAAGUUUUGAUCCACCUCUCGUGAAAAAGACAAAUUUCCAUCAAUUCAGUAGGAAGCGGGUCAAAUUUGAACUACAACUGCCUUAUAGUUUGCACUUUAUUUUUUUGCAAAAAUCAUUUCUAGGUACAUAAGUAUCUCUUUAAUCAGAGAAACACCAAAAAAUUUCCAAGAUUCAACCACUAGCUAGAAACUGUCAUGCCCGCCAUUUUGACCGCAUCAUAUGUGACCAAGCUUCCAGGAAAAAUAAUAAACUUGUAAUACGGCAAUUAUUUUAAAAAAGUGUUCUUAGAAAUGAGCUAUCAUGCGUGAAGAUUGAUGGCUUUCAAGCCAAAUGAUCAAUCUUAUGGCCACAUUCAUGGCAUAGUUCGUUCAAAUGAUCUCAUAUUGUGCACAAGGGUGCAUCUUGGAAUGACAAACAAUGUUGCCUAGAGGAUUUUUCAGUUUCUUUGCACGGAAAAUUCAUUUUCCAUUUUUCGAGUGCUCGAAAUGAGGUUUUUUGUGAAGGAACUACCAAAUAAUUGUUGCAAAAACGGACCAAAUCAAUUUUAUAAAAUAUCAGGCCAUGUUUAAUGCACAAUUGACAAAAUGGUUGGGUGUAAAAAAAAUUAUCCACCUCUGGUGAAAAAGACAAAUUUCAGCCGAUUCAGCACGAAGCGGGUCAAAUUUGAACUGCGACGGCCUUAUAGUUUGCUCUUUAUUUUUUCCAAAAAUCAUUUCUAGGUACAUAAGUAUCUAUUUAAGCAUAACUACAUGGUUUGGUGGUGAUACGUUGAGGUUUGGACGGUGGCCCAGGGCCCCAACUCCAAAGCGCGUAGACUCGCAUGCCCGUCGCGUGGUCACCGCGUGACCGUGGCGUUACCAUGCAUUCUGGGAAGCCUAGGAAUGUCUAGUAGGUUUGGCACUCCCCAGGUAGAUGCUUGGAAGAAAAUAACAAUAGAUGAAUUUCACGAGGAGACUGAACAAUGCUCAAACAUGAAUUAACCCCCAAAUGUUUGAUUAGUGGUACGGAAAAUACACAUGGCCAAUGGGCCUGAGUUUUGGCCGAGGAUGAUCAUCUACUAAGGACACUAUCUUGGAAAAUUUGCAGUUCAAAUGGAGGAGCCUAGGUGUCACUUGCUUUGCAACAUACCACACUGGACAGAAAUAUUAAUGUUGAAGCCAUACUCACUUGUAUUGUUAGAUGGGGCUCAAAUUUUGUGGAGAGCAAUGAUUUGGGAAUAUAGAAGAUGUGGCAAAAAUUCGACUCAUUAGGAUAUGCCUAGAUAGUACUUCCUUCACAAUAGUUCGAGUUGAACAAAAACUUUGGAAAUUUGCAGAGGAAGAUUUACCAGGUAAAUGGAGUUGAAUAUUGUCACGAGGCAAUGAUUUGGAUAGUAAAGAAUGCCCAAUUUUUUGGUAAUUUUGGGAAUGACAGAAAUAUAGGCUGCUUCACAAUCUAGGGAAAAAAUUGACACAUGGACAUGACACAUAGGCAAAACUAAUGAGGUGGCGCCUAGUCAUAGCAAUAAUUACCAAUGCAUCCAUGUUCACAACCUCAUGACCAUUUAUAUUGGUCGUAAUCAAGUAGAAAUAAGGUCAUUGGUGUCUCUUGUCUGCUUUGUGACCAUUUGGUGUAAGCAAUUUCAGGGUUUGAGCCCUUCCAAGCGAAAUGGCCGUGAAUUUACGACCAAUUCAGCUGGGGUCACUAAGAGAAGGUCACAAGUUGACAUAUUUCUUGUAGUGAGGUAAUACCCUAUGUCCUGAUUGCUUGAUGUUGAUGAAUACGAGUAUUACAAGAGCUGAUCUACCUCGAGAUCGUAAUGGCUAAACCCUAGAGGUCUAGCUGGUAUGGCUAUGGUAAUGAAUCUCCGUCCUUUCCAGACUAAGCCUUCCGGUUUAAGAGGCCGAACUCGCCAAGGCUCGUAAGAGUGCGGAGACAGCCCGGAGUGAAGCCUAGGGUGCCCUCCAUGAGAUCCAAGAAGCCAGGAAGAUUGCGGCGGGUAAGGCAUUCAAUAUGCAAAGCAAGAAUGUGAAGAGGAAAUCUCUUUUACUGACCUGGAUUCGGAGUUCUCCAGGGGCUUUUGUUGAUCUUCCAUGCAGUGUGACCGACGCCACAGAGUUCUUCCGAGCCGAAGAAGGGGGCUCCUCGGAGAAGCUGUUCUGGUCGCAAUAUCUUGUGCCGGAACAUCUGGUGCCCUUCAGCGAUCAGCUAAAACAGCUGGUCGAUCUGCAUAGGGUGGCCGAAAUGGCCAUGAAGGAUUUAACAAUCCGGCUAUGGCCAGCCGAAGCUAUACCCAACAAUUACUUGGGCCUCGUGGAGAGGCUGGUUCAUGCCUGUCCUCGGCUGGACGUCAUCAAGCGGUGUGUCUGCAUUGAAGGCGCGCGUCUGGCCUUCUCCUAUGUCAAGGUCUGGUGGGCGAAGAUGGACGCCGUCAAGUUGGCGACCGAGGGGCCGCCUGAGGGAAAGGAGCACCGCACACCCGAGCGAUACUUGGGCGAUGUCUUGGAAGGGUCCCGUAUUGUUGCGAAUCAUUGUGCGAAAGACACUAUCUUUGAAUGAACGUAUUCGAGCUCCCUCUACCCUAUAUGGUAAAACAAAGUGAUUGUGCAAUAUAAUGUUGGUUAUGUUUUUAAAUUUUUAGUUCCUGUGCGGCCGUGUUGUAUGAAAUCUGAGGGUUAACCAAUCGUUGGCUUCUGCCCCCAUGUAGGUAGUACGGGGGUGUUCAGGAUGGAAUCUAAACAAUCUUGAUCCAAUUAGAUGGUCCUUGAAGGAGUUUUUUAGCGCAACGAACCAGGCAACCAGACUAUGCGGCUGUAACGCCCCCACUUAGCCAUAGGAGUUCGACAAUAAAAACAUGGGCACAGCCUCUAGUAUCCAAACUAGAGUGCUAUAAGCGUCUGAUCGGGAAGUACCAAUCCUUCACAUAAUGCGGAAGAAAUCUCCAACGAUUUGUAACCUCCGAACAACUGACCGGCUCUCGCCGCAUCGUGACAGUCAGUUUUCGGCUUUCUCUACUGAGGUGCUCCUUUGGAUUAACUAAGGCACAAUUGUAGUAGUUCUCCCUUUACUACCUUAGCCGAUAUAGCAGAACGUAAGGUUGCAAGCACAGGAGCUGGGCAACCCAACUAUUGACCAAAGACAUGAUUCGGAGCCAAUGCAUAUAAUGCUAAAUUCGGGGUGCCGAACUUUACUUAUAAAAAGUGUUCGGACUUUUGUUGUCGUAACGUGGGGUGCUAUGAAGCCCAUGGAAAACAUCAAACGUACCAAAGUGUACGGGUGCUACCAGAUAGGGUUAUCCACAGGGGAGCUGAAAACGAGAAAGGAAACAGAAAAUGUAUGAAGGUAAAAAGCUGGGGUCCUACAGCUCCAGCCGCAAACUGUUCUCAUUGUAAUUUAAUUAGUACGUCAAGGCGCAUUGAUAUAGGUAGUGCGAUAAGCAACAGGCUAAUUGACAUGCCGAUACCAAGGGUCACGCUGCAUGCGGGUCCUGAGAAACUGGUAGAGUUAUCGUUAAUGGAAUCACCUAAAAAAGUCCCCCAUAUGUCUGCGUUUCUCGCUGUCUUGGUGUGUUUAUCCUUCAAGAGGACCGAUGACCAGACCACCAGAUGGUGCCUGUGGGAUUGAGACCUGAAAAGGAUACCAGUAAAAGUGAAAUUAUGUGUGUAUCCAUUAUCGGUUGAGCCGUACUAUGGACCACAAGCUAGCUAUGUCUCCGUUGAUGCCCAUGGGAUUUUGAGUGCUAAUUAUGUAUGUGCGGCACGAAAGCCAUCACUUGAUUGGGACUGAUACGGAGGCCGUAUUGCUACUCGAGCUCCUGACGAGCCGAGCUCUCCUACUGCAGAGUAGUUCGGACCCUCUUAACGGUGUCCGUUGGCUAGGCAGUCGAAUUAAAGUUCUGCUUGAGAAGGCCGCUCUAUAGUUUUGCUGGUAAGGCAGCCGUGUGCUCUUCUGUACGGAGGGAGUGUUCCGUAUUUCCAUUGACUGUUAUAACGCCACAUGGACCGGGCAUCUCGAGCUUGAGGUAAGCAUAGUGUGCUACUGCGUUGAAUCAAGCAAACGCAUUUCGUCUGAGCAGUGCAUGAUAGCCGCUAAGGAAGGGGACGAUAUCGAAGAUUAACUCCUCACUUCGGAAGUUGUCCGGAGAUCCGAAGACAACCUCCAGUGUGAUUGAGCCCAUACAACGGGCUUCUACACCUGGUAUGACGCCUUUGAAGGUAGUCCUGGUGGGCUUGAUCUGUGAUGGGUUAAUGCCCAUUUUUCGCGCUGUAUCCUGAUAGAGGAGAUUGGAACUGCUACCUCCGUCCAUAAGGAUGCGAGUCAGGUGGAACCCAUCAAUUAUUGGGUGUAGGACCAGUGCGGCUGAGCCACCGUGAUGGAUACUGGUCGGAUGAUCCCGGCGAUCAAAAGUGAUCGGGCAUGAUGACCGUGGAUUAAAUUUUGGGGCGACUGGUUCUAUCACGUAGACGUCCCUGAGCGCACGCUUGCGCUCCCUCUUGGGGAUGUGUGUAGCGUAUAUCAUGUUCACCAUUUUGACAUGAGGGGGGAACUUCUUCUGUCCCCCUGUGUUCGGUUGCUGGGGCUCUUCGUCAUCGUCCUUGCUUUGCGAUCCCUUUUCCCUGUUUUCUGUGUUUAAUUUACCGACAUGUUUAAAAACCCAACAAUCUCUAUUUGUAUGAUUGGGUGGUUUGUCUGGGGUGCCGUGAAUCUGGCACGGACGAUCAAGUAUGCGGUCCAAGCUGGAUGGGCCUGAAUUGUUCUUUUGGAACGACUUCCUUCGCUGACGGGACUUAGAGCCCCUGAAUCCGGCAUUGACCGUCGUAUCCUCAGUAUUUUCAUUAUUGUUUCGAUGAUUGUAUUUGUUGUGUCGAGACUUGUCUUUGCUAGUUUUAGCUUCAGGGGUGCCGGCCUCGCUUGCAUUGUUUUUGCUACGGGACAACCAGUUGUCCUCGCCCGCACAAAAGCGGGUCAUGAGUGCCGUGAGGCCGCCAUGGAUUUUGGCUUUUCUUGGCCGAGGUGGCGAGUGAGCCAUUCGUCUCGGAUGCUGUGUUUGAAGGAUGCUAGGUCUUCGGCAUCCGGACAAUCGACGACUUGGUACUUUUUAGUUAAGAACUUAGUCCAGUAUUUCCUGGUGGACUCAUCGGGCUGUUGAACUAUAUGGCUUAAGUCAUCAGCGUCCGGAGGUCGAACAUAUGUACCUUGGAAGUUAUCGAGGAAGGCCUCUUCCAAGCCCUCCCAGCUGCCAAUAGAAUUUUCAGGCAGACCAUUGAGCCAGUGCUGAGCUGGCCCCUUGAGUUUUAAAGGGAGGUAUUUGAUGGCGUGGAGGUCAUCACCGCGGGCCAUAUGAAUGUGGAGAAUGAAGUCUUCGAUCCACACCGCGGGGUCCGUGGUUCCAUCGUAUGGUUCUAUAUUCACGGGUUUGAACCCUUCUGGGAAUUCAUGAUCCAUGACCUCAUCGGUGAAGCAAUGAAGGUGUGCAGUGCCUCUAUAUCAGGUCGUAUCGUGACAUAGCUCUGAUGGAGUUCGUCUGCGGUUUUCAGCCCGCGCAUGACUAAGUUUGUCACGUCCUAAUAGGUGGCCGUCGUCGCGUGUCGAGGCACGUCCUCGCGAUCCGUAGAUUGAUCUGGUAUGUCCUGCUUUAUUGUUCAGGUUUUGCCGGAGGUCAUAUGUAUAACCAUGGGCUAAUUUACCUCUACCUAUGCGAUGAGGCGGGGCUGGCUGGUGUUCGGCGUGAGUUGUCGUUUUGUCCCGACCACGUGGUGGUCGGUUAGCCGCAUUGUACGCUGGAGGUAUGUAUUCCGGUGCCUCCUCGUCAAACUGAGGUAGCAAUUUGCAAUUUGGGUAGCUUUUGGUUGGGCGCUUGAGGCCUUAUUCUUCGGCUGCUAGGACAUUGGUACAUUUAUCAUUGAGCAGAUUUUGGUCAGCUUGAAGCUGCUGCUGCUUCUUUUUCAGGCUCCUUGCAGUGGCAAUUAGCUGUCGCUUGAAGUGCUCCUGCUCAAGAGGUUCCUCACGCACGAUGAAAUCGUUGGUGCCAGAGGCUCACCUCAUCCUCGGAGAGUGGAAGAUAACUUUCGUCCUCUAAGUCUUCAUUGGUGGCCUGCUUACCAGGGCUAGCCUGCCCAUCUUCCCGUUCAUCUUGUUCGUUAGCUGUUUCAACGGGGCUUCGUUAUCUUCAGCACCUUCUGGAGUGUUAUCUUCUCCUGUGCCGGUGUUGUUGUCUUUACUGCGACAUGACUUAGAGCGGCGCUGUUGACGCAGGCGCUUCGAUUGUAUUUUGGAAGGUUUAUCCUCAGUUGGAUCUGUCUUGUCAUCGCCGUUGUUCUCCUUUGGUGCAUCCACUAUGUAUACAUCAUACGAGGAAUUGGCCGUCUAGCGUCCGGUGAACGGCGGGUUCUGGGCCUCUUCUUCUCCGGCAUCAUCGUCCAUACCGUCGAUGUCCUCGGAGUCGUAAUCAAGUGUGUCGGUCAAACCCUCGACCGUGUCUAUGAAGUGGGUGGCGGGUGGGAAGCAAAAUUCUCCACCAUCAGCCCCUAGUUCGGGCCGGAUAUAGUUCGGCUGUGAGUCCUCCAUCAAGGAUAGGUUUUUUUAAUGAGUUUAGCAUGUCGCCCAAAGGCGAGAGCUGGAAGAUGUCUGCGGCGCUGAAUUCGAAGAUCAAUAAACUAUCAGGUUUGGCAUUCGCGGGCUCACAUGGUUCGGAACUUACGGCAGAAGAUGAGUCCGGAGUUCCGGUGGCACAGGUAUCGUGUGAGAUCAAGUCUAUGUGCGGCUCCAACACCAGGGAAUUUGUGGACUCCAUGGCGGGCUUGAGCUUCCAGUCCUUGGAUGCCGCAGUGUGCUACGCAUCUAAGGCCGGAGUGGUCACAAGAGCUAUCUCCUGGAUGCGGUCUGACGACAGAUUUAGGUCAUGUUCGUCAAGGUGACCGGGAGCAGUCGUCGCGGUCUCAAAUCCGGCGAAGAUCAAAUCUCCACGGAUGUCCAUAACAUAGUUUAAACUCCCAAAUCUGACUUGAUGGCCAGGGCGUAGCUAUCUAUCUGCUCCAGGUGGCCAAACGAGUUGGCCCGUAGUGCGAAGUAGCCGAACACGAAGAUCGGCUAGGGCUUGCUACUUUUCUCAGGAGUGACUGACGGCUCUACCACCCCGAUAGGGCAGGUUUGCCUCCCUGUCACCUUCGGUGAGCGCGACAACUACCACACCAAGGUCAUCGACUUCGACGUCGCCCACAUCUGUCUGCCAUACAAUGCCAUCCUCGGGUACCCAGCGCUAGCCAAAUUCAUGGCAGUCACCCACCAUGGCUACAACGUCCUCAAGAUGUGGGGAAGCGGCGGAAUCAUCAUGGUCCCUUGCGAAGAAUGAGACGCAGUGUGCUCCCUCGAGCGCGCCUUCCAAGUUGCAUCACUCGAAGACCCUGAUGCAAUGUCGUGUAGUACUCUCCUGAGGCCAACACCAAGAAGAAGAAGCAGCUGCUCCACACUAGACCUCAAGGGAGCAGCACCUCCGGUGGCACCACUUCAGGAUCUACGCCCGCGCCUGGGGCACCUCUCUCCCUCGCAUAGGGCGGCGUGCCCGGUGCCGUCCUCGGGCAGGGCUCAGGGUCUCUCUUUUGGAGGGCCCCAGACCUGGCCAGCAUCGCGAGGGAGGCGCUCGGGCACCACGUGGAGGUGUGCUGCAUGGCACGUUUGCCUUAGGAGGGCGCCAGGCGAAGAGUGCCUGGUGAGGAAGUCCUGGACUAAGGGGUCCUCAGGCGUCCGGCCUGUUAUCCAUGGGCCGGACUGAUGGGCUGUGAAGACAUGAAUGCCAAAGACUGCACUGUGUCCGGAUUGGACUCUACUUGGAGUGGAAGGUAAGCUUGGCGACCGAAGAUUCCUUCUUAUGUAACCGACUCCAUGUAAACCCUAGAUCCCGUCGGUGUCUAUAUAAACCGAAGGGGUAGUCCUGAAAGGGCACCACAUAUACUCAUUACCAUAUUCACAUAGGCUAGGCUUCUAGGGUUUAGCCAUUAAGAUCUCGUAGUAGAUCAACUCUUGUAAUACUCAUAUGCAUCAAGAUCAAUCAAGCAGAAAGUAGGGUAUUACCUCCAUAGAGAGGGCCUAAACCUGGGUAAACAUUGUGUCCCCCAUCUCCUGUUACCAUCGAUCCUAGACGCACAGUUCGGGACCCCCUACCCGAGAUCCGCCGGUUUUGACACCGACAUUGGUGCUUUCAUUGAGAGUUCCACUGUGUCGUCGAUGAAAGGCUCGAUGGCUCGCCUUGUCAUUAAAUACAACAUUACCGCAGGGGUAGUUUUGGCCUCGGGCCAAACCUUCCGGCUGGGCGACUUUACUAUGAUCGCUCGUUCGGCCGCGUAGCCGACGAUGACCUCUCGGGCCAUCAAAAAUCCCCUUCGCAUCAACUUCGAGCACUCCAAGCAGAUGGAUCCGGUUGAGUUUUCAUCCUUAAACAAGCUCCUAGAUUGCAUCGCCGCUUUGGAAAUCUUCACAGAUUACGAUCAGAUCGGGCCUAAAACCGAUCAGGGAGAAACCGAAACUCCACCGGUCACCCACCAGAUCGCGGCAGUCCUGGAGCAGGACGGCAGGUCUUCUUCUAUAUUGAAGACGGACUAUGUUCGGGUUGCCGUUCAUGAAGAGCCGGAUAUUCACCCGUGAAAGGACGCAACCAGCCCUCUGAACAUAGCAUCGAAUGACGGUUCCAAACAAUCAAAAGUUAUUCCGGAACCCGGACUGUCUAGUCCGGAAGAUCGUCGGACUCCGGACAACCGGUAAGGUCGGGGUUCGGAUUUAAUCCCAGUCACCCACAAGGACAUAGAGGCUCUCAUGAGCAUAAAACAACAAUCUCAGGAGAAGGUCCACCACUUUUGGGCCAGAUUCCUCCUUGUCAAGGACAAGGUGAAAGAUUGCCGUGACAAGGACGCAAUAUCAGCGUUCUGCAAAAAUUGUGCUGACGAAGGAAUCCUCAACACCAUCAAUCGAUGCCGCAUACUAAAAUUUGCUAACUUAGCAACCAUCGUACAAAAAUACCGCGCGAUGGAAAGCGCUUGGGAAACUCGGGCAGCUCGCUGGGAACCACCAGCCCCAACCCAACUUCCCCUACAGGCGAAAAGGGCAUACCCUCGGGGCACGCCCAGUCCAACAGUCAAAAAACACAAAGCCACUAUACGGCACGGCACCGUUCUGGAAGGGUGGCUCGAUGGCCCAUGCAAAAUACAUACAACAACAGAUACCGUGGCAACCCACAGCCUUAGAACAUGUUGGAUACUAUGACAGGUAGCCAAGAGCAGCGAGGACAUCCUUAUCAAGGACGCCCCAGAACAACACCCCUAGAAGACGACGACCCAAGAGUACUGACAUUCUUCGAGACAUUCGCUUCAAAUAACAAGUGCAAAAGGGCACUUCGUAGGAUCGGAAGUAUGUCUAGAGGGGGUGAUUAGACUACUUGACCAAAUAAAAAUCUAGCCUUUUCCCAAUUUUAGUUCUUGGCAGAUUUUAGCAACUUAGAACAAGUCAAGCAAUCUUAAUACAAUUCAAGCAAGCAUGCAAAGAGUACAUGAGCAGCGGAAAGUAAAGCAUGCAACUUGCAAGAAUGUAAAGGGAAGGGUUUGGAGGAUUCAAACGCAAUUGGAGACACGGAUGUAUUUGUUGUGGUUCCGAUAGGUGGUGCUAUCGUACAUCCACGUUGAUGGAGACUUCAACCCACGAAGGGUAACGGUUUCGCGAGUACACGGAGGGCUACAUGCACGAAGGGUCCACGAAGAAGCAACCUUGUCUAUCCCACCAUGGCCAUCGCCCACGAAGGACUUGCCUCACUAGUGGUAGAUCUUCACAAAGUAGGCGAUCUCCUUGCCCUUACAAACUCCUUGGUUCAACUCCACAAUCUUGUCGGAGGCUCCCAAGUGACACCUAGACAAUCUAGGAGACACCACUCCAAGAAGUAACAAAUGGUGUGUUGAUGAUGAACUCCUUGCUCUUAUGCUUCAAAUGAUAGUCUCCCUGUCGGUGUCAAAAUCGGCGGAUCUCGGGUAGGGGGUCCCGAACUGUGCGUCUAGGCGGAUGGUAAUAGGAGACAAGGGACACGAUGUUUUUACCAGGUUCGGGCCCUCUCGAUGGAGGUAAAACCCUACUCCUGCUUGAUUAAUAUUGAUGAUAUGGGUAGUGCAAGAGUAGAUCUACCACGAGAUCAAGGAGGCUAAACCCUAGAAGCUAGCCUAUGGUAUGAUUGUUCUAUGAUGAAGUUGUCCUAUGGACUAGAACCCUCCAGUUUAUAUAGACACCGGAUAGGUUUAGGGUUACACAGAGUCGGUUACAAUGGUAGGAGAUCUUGAAUAUCCGCAUCGCCAAGCUUGCCUUCCACGCCAAGGAAAGUCCCAUCCGGACACGGGACGAAGUCUUCAAUCUUGCAUCUUCAUAGUCUUGGAGUCCGACUGAAGGUAUAAUCCGGCUACCCGAACACCCCCUAAUCCAGGACUCCCUCAGUAGCCCCUGAACCAGGCUUCAAUGACG